AUUUUAAUCUGCACAAGCCGCAAAGGAAAAUUCGCCAUGCAUUUUCUUAUAGCUGGAGACUGUGGUCAUUGCCUGAGAUCAAAGACUGUUUGGAAGAAGCUGGAUUUCAGUCAGUCCACUUCUGGAUCCGACAUAUGCCUGACAGCGAAGAUAUCAGAAGCACAUAUGGGCUUGCUGCUGGACGAGACAUAAAAUAUGAAGAGGUUACAAGUUUUCAACAACAAGAUUCAUGGAACGCAUACAUUGUAGGUGUUGCAUAGCUGCUAUAUCUGCCUCAUUUUCAUGAAAGUGGGCUUAGGUAAGACGUUAUUCUUCAUUUCGUCUGAAGCUAGAUCAGCAGAUUGAAUUACGCGUGUCUUUUUUUGAUAAAUUUUAGUACACAAACAAUGUUGUACCCUCAUCUAUAAG
This 408-nucleotide unclassified non-coding RNA is filed under the name Hevea brasiliensis (rubber tree). Lineage: Eukaryota; Viridiplantae; Streptophyta; Magnoliopsida; Malpighiales; Euphorbiaceae. The record is from RNAcentral.